This is a long non-coding RNA of Ziziphus jujuba (common jujube), 4284 nucleotides long. RefSeq lists it as uncharacterized. Lineage: Eukaryota; Viridiplantae; Streptophyta; Magnoliopsida; Rosales; Rhamnaceae. The transcript is spliced from 2 exons. The record is from RefSeq and is a predicted model, not a curated record.
UAUUAUCUUUAUUAUUAUAAAAAAGAACAUUAAUACUAACCAAUAUCAAUCAUCUUUCUAGUUUACCCCAAAAAAAAUAAUAAUAAUAAUAAUCAAUUAUCCUUCUAUGCACAUGUCAUCCUCCCUUACACAUGUCAAAGUGUAGUCAACUUCAACAUUACCCUUUUCGUAGUGAAGUUUCUAGCCCAAGGUAGAGGCCACCAAAAUGAGGGCAAAACAGAGACAAUUUGACAUACCAGAAAGAACAUCCUCGCUUUAGAGAAGCAAUAUCGAUCAUCCUUCUAUGCACAUGUCAACAGAUUUCUUUACAAACUUUACUCUCUAAGAUCAGCUAUGAGUCAUAUCAUUUCUUAGAAGUAGUUUCUGGAAUUAUGUAGAAUACAGAAGAAGGAAAUUCAAACCCACUCACUCAGAGCUUCAGAACCUGCUCAUAAACUCGCCGCUGCUUAGUUGCCUCUUCAUUUCGGUCCUCUUUCUGAAUAGUUUCCUCAGCUAUCUUUAAAUCCUCAUCCUUUUGAACAGCUUUAUCCUUUUGGAAGUUCUUAUAAAGAGCUUCCAAGCAAGCACUCUAUUUCUUAGUAAUUUUCUCAUCUGUAAACAUUUUAAAGAAGUUUCGUCUUCAUAUCAGCAAUAAUAGUCAUGUAAGAAACAAGUUAUUCUUGUUUUUCUGAGGACAAAACUUUUUGAGAAGAAUUUGUUUCUUAUAUGACUGUUUUUGUUGACAUAAAGAUGAAACUUCUUGAGGAUGUUCAAAAGUGGAGAAAAUUACUGGAGAUAGGGUGCCUGUUGGAGAAGGUCUUUAGAGGAUGAGAACGCAUCUAACGAGGAUACAAAAGGAGCUGAGAAAGCUAGUUAAGAGGAUAAGGUCCUUAAAGAAACGGCUUGUUCAACUGUUUUUGCUGAUAUGAGGACGAAACUUCUCCCUCCCGGCCUUGUCGACACCGCUUCUUCUAUCUAUUACAGCGGAGAUGAUGGCAUUAACGACCCCUUUCAUGGUGGGGACGCCAAUGGAUCUGAUAAGAAUGGUUUGGAUGAUGUGUUUUUGUAUUUUGGGUUUGGGGGCUUGGGAAUUUGAGGUGGUUUGUGGGGGCAGGGUUGAAUUUUAGUCCAUGGGUUCUUGCAAACUUGGAUGUUUUUUGUUUGCUUGAAAUUGGUGUUUUUGGUUUUUUGUGGAGUUGGGAAAUGCAACUUUUUGUUCAUCGUUUUCUCCGGCAAUUAUUUAUAAGGAAAUGGAUGGGGAAUUUCGUUGAUGGGUUUCUGUGGGUUUGAUGGUUUCUUUUUGUUAUUUUUAUGCCAGUUGUAAUCUUUGUUUUGGAUUGGAUUGGCUGUUCUAUUUUUGUUUUUGAAAAUAUAGCAAUAGGUUAUCUUCAUCCAACUUCAAGUGCUUCAGAUUUUUGUAUAUAAUUUUCACUUGUUUCUAAUUUGUCAUUCUGUAGUUGUAUACUGCUGACGUAAUAAUUUUAAGCUGCUAUAUUAUUCAGAUUAAGUUUGAUUUGUGAUUGGAGAUGUUUGGAUUUUUCUGUAGUAAUUUGGUAGAUUUUAUUUUUCUUUUCUGAAAAAUUGUUAAAAUGUUUUAAUUGAAAGCCAUGAUGUGUAAAGGUUUCUUUUAUUACCAAGUUUGUCUUUUCUAAUGUAGCAAUUCUAAUAUUUGUUUCAAUAUUCACGAGAGGAUGAUAAUGGAAAUAUUUCUGAAGAAUAUUUAUUAACAGAACUUGAAGAUGCAUUGCUGAAGCAGCGGCCAAACUGUGUGUCUGGCUUUGGAUUGAGAAAUCAAGGGACCAUCGUUAUCAAAUCCACAUUCAGCAUCGAUUAAAUGAACUUGAAGUUGGGGUAGGAAAUCGAAGGAAUAUUCCAGUGGCUUUGCUCUGGACCAUGUCAGCUUCAGUAUGUCAAAAAAAGACCAUCAACAAUAACAUGGUUCAUAUGUGAAGAAAGCAAAGUUGGUUCAAAAGAAGAAAUAGAAAGGGUUCACACGUAAGGCAAGGCUUUACCAAACUCUAAAACAAUUUUCGUUUUACACAAAAUGGUGGAGAAACUAGCAUGAACUUUGAUGUCUAUCAUCCUGGAAGAACUGAUACCAAGGCUUAAACAUUACUUUCUUAACAUUGCUUAACAAUGAAGCAACCCUUAAAUCAUCUUGGAGUAGUUUCACCAUGGCUAGACAUGUUGUAAUUCUAGCUUUGAUAAUUCACCAUGUGGUCUCGCUUUUUCGUGCUUUCUUUUAACUACUUUUAACCAUAUAUGAACACUUCAUGCGUUAAGCCGGAUAAAACAUAUCAAAAACACACCCUUUGGCUUUGUAGUGUUAGCCUGAGGUUUACAAGCUUCUUACGCUAAGUCACAUCUCCAACACAUAUUCCAUGGUACUUUUAGAAUGUGGAAUGUAAAGUAAUCAUAAAACUUAGAAAAUGAGAACAACAUAAGAUGAGCAUUAUAUAUUGGUGUCUACACAAAUGUUUCAGAUUUGGUUUGGGCAUUCACACAAAGAGCAGUAGUAUUUCCUUAUUGAUUUUUGUUUUCUUUUCAAAACGGGAUUUAUAUAUCUCUGAAAGUAUAUGAUAUGGACAAGGCUACCUAUGAGUCUAUGAACGCCACCAGUAGUUUCAAGAGGAAUUUGUAGAAAAAGAGGGUGUUGGAUUGAAAGCCUUCUACUCAGAACAGGUGAGGACUUCAUGAGGCUGUGCCUCUUCUCUUCCAACACCCGUAAGAUCAAGGCAAUACAAGUAAUGCAAGAUGAUGAUGUUGAUGGCUGCAGCUGAGCCAAGUGUUGCUAAGUAUUUAUUGUCUACAUUUUAAAUGGAAAGAAUAUGUAUAGUAUUGAAUUUGAUGUUGGCAUAAAUAUCUAAUGGAUUUACAGGGCAGGGAUGACUUCCAAAUAACCCUUCUUAGGGUACUUGAAUCUGUCACAGAGGAGUCAACUGUAAUCCUUGAAAGCCUGACGUAAUUAUCCAUGAAAUUCUCCCCAGUUUGGCUGUUCUAUAUAAGGGCAAUAAGGAUGGUGAAGCCAUCCUUAUUGCCUGAAAAUUUUGUUUGAAGUUAUGAUUGUCUUUUUGAAUGAACAAUGUGAAGAUGGGCGAAGUUCAAAGGAUUUGGAGUCGAUAUCCAAUAAAUAUUUCCUCCUCCUCUACCCCUCCUUGAUUGAAGAUGAGGAUCCUAUCCCCAUGUAUGCACAGAAGCUUCUUGUAAUGCUGAUUGAGUUUAGUUACGUAAAAAUAUUAGAUAUUCUUUGAGUUUUUGCUUGGGGAUCUCUCAAGUGCAUAUGUUAGUUACGUUAAGCUUUGCCUAGGUCUUGCCUCUGCUCCAGAGAUGGUAUCCAAGUUACUUUCUCAGUUGGAAGGAUUGAAAAUCUUCUGGAGUUUGUAUAUGCAAAGGAUAUGGAAGAUUUCCUAGAACCAACCCAUGGCCUGUGUAAGGCUUUUCUUCUACGUUCUGUGAGCGGUCGGAAAGGCUUCAUCUACAAACAAAAGAACCUGCUCUUUUAUGUAUGGUUCUUCUGAAGUCAUUGGACCAGUUGAUCAGCAACAAGAUUUAAGAGAUAUUAUGGACUUCGUCAGCAAUGCUGGCUUCUUGCUAGAGUUAAGUGCUUCCCGUGAAGCAAAUGUGGGAGAUAUGGCUUCUGAAUGUGUUGUCUUGCUGCUCAAGGCAGCUCCUAGGGAAGCUACUACUGGUCUGCUUACUAAUCUUCACAGGGUCAGUGCAAUCAUCGGGUCAUGGAACAGGGGGAUUUCUCACUUUCUGGUGGUGCAGCGGAUGCUACAUGCGAUUGGCCAUUCAUGUAAGCAAUAUCUGUGUCGUGCAAUGAUAUUGUCGAUAUCCAUACCAGAGAUUACAAAGAUUGAAGCAAUUGUCUCUGAGCUCAAAAGUUCAGGCAUAUCUGGUUUAGCCAAUGCUGCUUCGCUAGUUGAGGUGAAGUUACAGCGCCUACCCCGUUGCAUUUGAAAUCCUAGAGGUUUUAUGUUUGUUUCUUUUUUUCUUUUUUCUUUUUUCCCUCUCUAGUAUGUUUUCAAAAAGCAAUUUUAGUUUUCAGGAUUCACUUAUUUAUAUUUUGCAUGCAAGCAACAAGCAAAUGAAAUUGACUUUUGAGAAGGGCAUGAAAGACUUGCUUCCUGAAUUCUCUCUAAGGGGUCAAUAAUUCGCCAGGUGUGUGUCUUAAAAAUUUUCUGCAUGGAGUAUUAUUAGCAUUCAUCCAUCUUCUCUUUGGGCUGUCAUUGUAUAAUCAAUGUAUACAUUGUAUCUUAAUUGACAUUAUUCGAGCAUAUCUUUGUUUUUCUCCUCCGAUUAAAA